RNAcentral lists this long non-coding RNA (1631 nucleotides) under Bos grunniens (domestic yak). Its description in RNAcentral is "lncRNA (ENSBGRG00000024869.1)". Lineage: Eukaryota; Metazoa; Chordata; Mammalia; Artiodactyla; Bovidae. The record is from RNAcentral.
AUGGAUGUGAUGGCUGUUUUCUGCAUAAUUUGCAGCCCAAUUCAUGUCAUGCUGUGCAAAUCUGAACUCAAAGUAGAUGGCUGCAAUUUGAGAGGCAGUUUGGCUUAUGUGUACUUAAGAAGCAGCUUUGUUCAUUCAGAAGACAAAGCACAGAGCAGGGAGCCGGGAGCCUGUAAGCAUCGCGCUGGCCCGGAGUGCGGACUCUCGGUGUGGUCUUCUGCACAGCACCCACCUCCAGGCCUCGGUCCCCUAGCCCAGGGAGGUGACAUGGAUUGGUCAUCAGCCUCCAUACAGGCACGAGGGUGUCUCUGCAAGACCGCUGACACCACACCACAGCUUGCCACAAAAUGAUUCUCUCCUUUAUAGUCUUUCUUAAAAAACACCACUUGGACUUCCUUGGUGGCACAGUGGAUAAAGAAUCCACCUGCCAACACAGGGGACACAGGUUUGACCCCUAGUCUGGGAAGAUUCCACGAGCCGUGGAGCAACCAAGCCUGUGCACGACAACUACUGAGCCUGCGCGCUGCAAUUACUGAGGCCAAACACCUGGAUCCCGUGCUUCGCAACAAGAGAAGCCACCACAAGAAGAAGCCUGAGCCCUGCAAUAAAGAGAGGCUGCCACUCACCGCAACCAGAGAAAGCCACAGAAAACAACAAAGACCCAGUGCAGCCAAAAAAAGAAAAAAACAACACUUUUCCCUUAUCUCCUGCUUAUGAGAACCUGGAGUAAUGUUCUACUUUUCUUCCACAAAGAGAUGAAUAUUCUUAGACUUUCAAGAGUGUUUUAAUCUUGCCCGAUUACCCACUUAGCUUCAACCUGUUUCUAUCACCGAGGCCACAUCAUUCACCUUUGUGCAUCUCGUCCAUCCCUUCAUUUUAUUUUUCGUAUCUAUUGUCUGUUUAUUCCUACUCUUCUUCCUUUUUUCUCGUUACCUCAAUCUCAGCCAGUCUUCUGGCCACAGACCAAGUCCCUCUUCUUCCAUGAAUCCCAGGCUAAUCUGCUCCUUUAUCUCCUUUGUCUGAAUUCCUGUUGCCCUUACAGCCUAGCUUAGCAAUGGCUUUCUUGAAAAUGAAUUUUGUCUUCCUAGCUGGAUUGUAAAUCUUUCAAGCAUGGGCAAUCUGCUUUCUCUCUAUUUUUUAAUCCAACCAUGUGAUGUCACCAAGGAAGUUCAAUUAAGUACAUGUUGAUAAAUAGCUAUGCUGCUGCUGCUGCUGCUAAGUCGCUUCAGUCGUCUCCGACUCUGUGGGACCCCAUAGGCGGCAGCCCACCAGGCUCCCCGUCCCUGGGAUUCUCCAGGCAAGAACACUGGAGCAGGUUGCCAUUUCCUUCUCCAAUGCAUGAAAGUGAAAAGUGAAAGUGAAGUUGCUCAGUCGUGUCCGACUCUUAGCGACCCCAUGGACUGCAGCCCACCAGGAUCCUCCAUUCAUGGGAUUUUCCAGGCAAGAGUACUGGAGUGGGGUGCCAUUGCCUUCUCCGUAUGUACAGCUAUAGUUGUAGCUUAACUACAGUCCUCGGUCCCUCUUAGUUCAACAAAGAAUGAGGGGGUAAGACAAGAUCCUUGCUCCCCAGAAACUCACAACUACAAUUACCCAGAGACGCAAUCUCAGCCAUUUUUCUGGGUUCCACAGUU